Molecule: non-coding RNA, 75 nt
Organism: Oreochromis niloticus (Nile tilapia)
Lineage: Eukaryota; Metazoa; Chordata; Actinopteri; Cichliformes; Cichlidae
Source: Rfam
ACAAAGGCUCUUUCCUUUGAGCACAAGUAACCCAUUGCACUACAGAGCCACCGUAUUUAAACAUGCUGAGUUUGU